This 305-nucleotide ribosomal RNA is filed under the name uncultured bacterium. Its description in RNAcentral is "bacterial SSU rRNA". It matches the Rfam family "Bacterial small subunit ribosomal RNA", at positions 337 to 640 of the family's 1533-position model. The record is from RNAcentral.
ACCUACGGGGGGCAGCAGUGAGGAAUAUUGGUCAAUGGUCGGGAGACUGAACCAGCCAAGCCGCGUGAGGGAUGAAGGUACAGAGUAUCGUAAACCUCUUUUGUCAGGGAACAAAGGCGGGGACGUGUCCCCGGAUGAGUGUACCUGAAGAAAAAGCAUCGGCUAACUCCGUGCCAGCAGCCGCGGUAAUACGGAGGAUGCGAGCGUUAUCCGGAUUUAUUGGGUUUAAAGGGUGCGCAGGCGGUCUGGUAAGUCAGCGGUCAAAGCCCGGGGCUCAACCCCGGCCCGCCGUUGAAACUGGCAGG